This 297-nucleotide non-coding RNA is filed under the name Phascolarctos cinereus (koala). The record is from RNAcentral. Lineage: Eukaryota; Metazoa; Chordata; Mammalia; Diprotodontia; Phascolarctidae.
GCCAGAUGUGGUGGACCGCGCCUCUAAGUCCCUGUUGCUGGGGAGGCUGAGGCUGGUAGAUUGCUUGAGCUCUGGAGUUCUGGACUACAGUAGGGCUAAAGCCAACUAUGUCUACCCUGAGUUCAAUACAACUAUAAUGAUCCCCCUAGGGCAGAGGGCCACCACGCUGCCUAAAGAAGCACGAACCAGACCAAGCUGGAAAGGGAGCAGGUCAAAAGUCCAUGCUGAUCAGUAUUAGGACUGGGUCCCUGAGAGGCUUCUAUUCCAGCCUGGGUGAGAUAGGGAGACCCAGUCUUU